Molecule: ribosomal RNA, 407 nt
Filed under: uncultured bacterium
Lineage: Bacteria
Description: partial 16S ribosomal RNA
Rfam family: Bacterial small subunit ribosomal RNA
Source: RNAcentral
AUUGAACGCUGGCGGCAGGCCUAACACAUGCAAGUCGAGCGGAGCGGCGGACGGGUGCGUAAUGCCUAGGAAUCUUCAUGGUAGUGGGGGAUACAGUCCGGUAACGGGCGCUAAUACCACAUCCUCUCAGCUGAGCCUAGGUCGGAUUAGCUCGUUGGUGGUGUAAAGGCCUACCAAGGCGACGAUCCGUAACUGGUCUGAGAGGAUGAUCAGUCACACUGGAACUGAGACACGGUCCAGACUCCUACGGGAGGCAGCAGUGGGGAAUAUUGGACAAGGGGUGAAAGCCUGAUCGAGCCAGGCCGCGUGUGUGAAGAAGGUCUUCGGAUUGUAAAGUACUUUCAGCGGGGAGGCGUUACCCGCAGAAGAAGCACCGGCUAACUCCGUGCCAGCAGCCGCGGUAAUAC